AGUGAACGCUGGCGGUAGGCCUAACACAUGCAAGUCGAACGGCAGCACAGUAAGAGCUUGCUCUUACGGGUGGCGAGUGGCGGACGGGUGAGGAAUACAUCGGAAUCUACUUUUUCGUGGGGGAUAACGUAGGGAAACUUACGCUAAUACCGCAUACGACCUACGGGUGAAAGGAGGGGAUCUUCGGACCUUGCGCGAUUGAAUGAGCCGAUGUCGGAUUAGCUAGUUGGCGGGGUAACGGCCCACCAAGGCGACGAUCCGUAGCUGGUCUGAGAGGAUGAUCAGCCACACUGGAACUGAGACACGGUCCAGACUCCUACGGGAGGCAGCAGUGGGGAAUAUUGGACAAAGGGCGCAAGCCUGAUCCAGCCCUCCCGCGUGGGUGAAGAAGGCCUUCGGGUUGUAAAGCCCUUUUGUUGGGAAAGAAAAGCAGCAGGUUAAUACCCCGCUGUUCUGACGGUACCCAAAGAAUCAGCACCGGCUAACUUCGUG
This 492-nucleotide ribosomal RNA is filed under the name uncultured bacterium. RNAcentral describes it as "partial 16S ribosomal RNA". It matches the Rfam family "Bacterial small subunit ribosomal RNA", at positions 29 to 507 of the family's 1533-position model. The record is from RNAcentral.